RNAcentral lists this ribosomal RNA (231 nucleotides) under uncultured bacterium. Its description in RNAcentral is "partial 16S ribosomal RNA". It matches the Rfam family "Bacterial small subunit ribosomal RNA", at positions 99 to 334 of the family's 1533-position model. The record is from RNAcentral.
CGGACGGGUGAGUAAUGUCUGGGAAACUGCCCGAUGGAGGGGGAUAACUACUGGAAACGGUAGCUAAUACCGCAUAACGUCGCAAGACCAAAGAGGGGACCUUAGGGCCUCUUGCCAUCGGAUGUGCCCAGAUGAGAUUAGCUAGUAGGUGGGGUAAUGGCUCACCUAGGCGACGAUCCCUAGCUGGUCUGAGAGGAUGACCAGCCACACUGGAACUGAGACACGGUCCAG